CGAUUUUCUGCCCUCACCAUCUUCGGAGCAAGCCCCAGAACAAACGAUGGCUUUGUCAAAGACAAUUUAAUUCUUUUCAUGAGCGUUGUUCGCCGGCCAUCGUUAUUGCCGUCAGCUGCUGUAUCAGCCUUUCUUUUCCGACUGGUGGUUGUGUUCGAACCAUAUCCAACUUCCAUUACAUGCCCAUCUGCCAUUUGUUCCGGUUCCAUUCCUCUUGGUAUCUAUCUUGGUUAUACGAGUGGGGGCGGAGCGGCGGAGAGCCGGCGG
Molecule: unclassified non-coding RNA, 267 nt
Filed under: Hevea brasiliensis (rubber tree)
Lineage: Eukaryota; Viridiplantae; Streptophyta; Magnoliopsida; Malpighiales; Euphorbiaceae
Source: RNAcentral